Molecule: long non-coding RNA, 415 nt
Organism: Magnolia sinica
Lineage: Eukaryota; Viridiplantae; Streptophyta; Magnoliopsida; Magnoliales; Magnoliaceae
Exons: 3
Source: RefSeq, a predicted model, not a curated record
UCAAAUUAAAGUUUAUAUCUCACAACUACCGGCCAUACUUGUAACAGGUAACAGGACACUUUAGCCUAAUACAAGUCAGGCUCAAAUCAUGGGCAUACAUGUACUGAUCCAAACUCAAACCAUGGGGGCCCAUCUUUAGACGGGGCAAGGCCUCAAAUUAAGAUUGUUUGGGAAAUUAUGCCAAAGUGCUUCAUUGUUGUAUGAAUCAUCAAGUAUCCAGUGCUAGAUGCUAAUAUCUUAGUUAUGCCAGAUUUGUAUACUUGAUGCAAGGAUCAGGCAGAACCUUGCUGCCAUGCAGCAGUUGGAACAUGAGCAUGGGGCCAUGUCUUCCUUUGAUUAUAGGCAAGUUUUUAUCAACUCAAUUUUUCACUUUUUCAUUGGUUUGUCUGGAGAUUCAGUUUUUGAACCUUGUUUC